Molecule: unclassified non-coding RNA, 140 nt
Filed under: uncultured Ascomycota
Lineage: Eukaryota; Fungi; Ascomycota
Description: sequence contains ITS1
Source: RNAcentral
CAGAGUUGAAAACUCCCAAACCCAUGUGAACUUACCACUUGUUGCCUCGGCGUGCCUGCCGCCUCUGUGUGGCGGCUCGCCGGUGGACUUCUAAACUCUUGUUAUUUUGAGUCAUCUGAGCGUCUUAUGUAAAUAAGUCA